Anopheles merus is the source of this 3867-nucleotide long non-coding RNA. RefSeq lists it as uncharacterized. The record is from RefSeq and is a predicted model, not a curated record. The transcript is spliced from 2 exons. NCBI's taxonomy places the organism in Eukaryota, Metazoa, Arthropoda, Insecta, Diptera, Culicidae.
CCACGUUGCAAUACAUUUUAUGCACAUUAAAAUAAAACAAGCUUAAAUAAGAAACCGUAUUGAACCUUAAUUUCAGUGUUGCAGCUUUAUAUGUUUGUAUUCUAUCACCGAAAUACAGUCCCUCUGUGUGUUAUAUUAGUUCAGUAAUUAUUUUAUUUUUUAUGUUUAAAAGUAUCUGAGAUAUGAAAAUAUAUAUAACGAAAGAGAAGGCAUCAGUGACUUCUAGAUAUUAAAACAGGUAGAACUGUACCCAUGCUAAACAGCCUGCCCAAAACAGGUAUGCAUACAGCCACAGGCACAAGACGGAAACGAUGUUUUGGUAUAAAUAAGCCGGCAACGCGCUUGCCAUGUCAUAUUCGUUCAAACCGUCUAGACUGAUGGUUUCUCCAUCGACAAGAGAAAUCUCCCGAAGAUCAGCAUCAGCAAGCCGAUUGUAAAAGUGAAAAAGCAAGCCAAUGAAAAACUGAAAGUGUUUUCAAAAUGCAUUAAGCGUCACCAAAAUAUACAGUAAACAUACCGGCAACCAAAGCAAUACCGAUACAAGUGCAAGUGAUCUUCAGAAACCACAUUACCACUGUGAUGGCAUCAAAAACCACCUUUCCAGCGAUGGCAUCAAAAACCACCCAAAGCGAGCCGAGCACAUGGUCUGCGCAACGCCCAUCAAGGUUAUGUGUAUCGGAAUGUGAGAUAAAACUAAAGCGACAUGUAAAUGCCAGCGUGUGGCAUUGUGGCGUUGUGUGAUCGAGAUACAGCGCAAGCACCAUCUUACGAAAGUGCUGAAGUGAUGUGAUUGAAGAAAUGUUUACCAAGUACAAAUCGUCUAAAAAUGGUGUUUGCGUAAAAAUUUCAUUCCGGAAUUAGGAAAUCGAGCGAAUACACGCAGCACAAAGAAGAGGACAGUCCACCAACACCUAGAAACUUGGAUAGACGGCCCAUAGACCUGGAGUUAAUGGAUAGCCGGCAGAGACAAACAACGGCGUUAGAAAAAUAUAUUAAAUGAAAUGUAACAGUGAAAGUGGGACAAUCCUUGAGUCGACAAUUUUGCUGAGCUCACUGUCCAGCACGGAUUGACAGGCGAGAAUGAGGACCGGAGUCCCAACCGUAUCUGCCGACCGACAACGGCUGAGCUGGCGCUGAUAUCCGCUAACGGCUGCGCGUCUUCAGCAGCUAGAGUGAAAGUGUCAUCUAAAACAUAAUACCGGUUUUUCACAAUUCAAUUUCCCAGCAGCCCUGCUUUGAAGUUUGCUUGCGAUUAGCUCUCUCAAUAACCACGCAGAGCAAUACGUGGAUCCCUAUCCAUCAAAUCGACCUUGUGUUAGAUUGGUGUAUUGCGUUGUCGUAUCGUCCAAUGUUCGUUAAAAGCAGCAACGCAGGAAAUUCCAACAAUCCCUCAACUUUCGAACCGGUUUUAGUUAGACCCAUUGCCGCUCUUCUGCAGUUCCUAUUUUUAAUUGUUAAGAAAUUCCACUGCUAGAAUUUUCGAUGAUUGCGAAAGAAGAAGCGAUAGUCAACAGUGUUUAGAGAGAUGUUGUGUGAGUUUGCAGUUUAUUUUUUUUUUAAUUCGACAAAGAGCGGGUUUGUAGGAAGCAUAGCUUCCUACCAAAUUGAUGCUGUUUUAGUUUUUUGCUUUAUUUAUUAUUUUGGUUCAUUUAUAUCUGCGAAAGUGGAGUGAACAAUGUAAAUAUCGUCUAUUCGGUAUGUUACAGCUAAAGUUAUUACCAUUUAUACUUUCAAUCAAUGCAAAUUAUGGCAUCCUUUCAACAACCACUUAAAUUUCGGAUGUAUUUUACACUACGUACUAUGUACCUGUGUGAACCAAUUCCUAAUUAGAGAUACCAAGAUAAUAAUUUUACAAUCACUACAAAAUUGCCACGCGGAUUUUAUCCAUCUGGACAUGUCAUAACUUCGAAUUGUAUCAAUAAUCGGGAAGCAAAUGGGGUGCUUGAAUUCACAGCGCUGGCAAAUCCUAUCUAUCAAAAUCGUUAGCAUUGUUGGUUGCAUUGUACUGCGGAUGAACGAAGAUCUUUUCGAAAAAGUUCUUCAACCAGAAAUUAUUAAAUCAAUUUAACCACUCUGUUACAUUUCCCACCUACAUAGUAAUGUAAUGUAGUCAUAAUGUGUGCGCUGGAAGCAUGCUGAACUGGUCUCAAAUUUACUCGUUCACAAUCAUUUUCAGCGCGCUGUCCAUUGUCCACAGACAGACAGGUUGCACGUACACCUGUGUGCAUAAACAUGGGAACUUUUUUUUUUUGGGCUUAAGAAUCGACCACAGAUUUUCUAUCGGGUUGAGGUCAGGACUCAACGCAGGCCACGGUAGAACGCGCACAUCCUGGUUUGCCAAAUAACACCUAACUGUUCGCGAUGUGUGCUUUGAGUCGAUAUCAUGCUGAAAGAUGUAAUGCUCUUCGUCUCCGAAUUUUCUUCGGGCGUAUGGCAACAUCUUACGACUAUGUAUUCUAUUUCAUCCUAUUUUCAUCCACCACAAGCUGGAUGCAGCCAGAUGUUCUUCCAGAAGUUUUGAAAAGGACCUGUCGACUUACCCGUAGCCUCGCUACGAAUGGCGCUGUCGACAAACGUCCGCGAACGGCCGAACACCUUGCAGAUUGUCUUUAUUGGUACGUUCUCACGAGACAGCCCCUGAAUGUGUUUUCGCUCCUCUGGUAUGCAGUGCUUUCUAUAUCAACGCCCUGGCCCUGGAAGCAUGCUGAACUGGUUUCAAAUUCACUCGUUCAUUUCGUAUCUUGCUGGAGUACGAAGAAUGUCGUUCGAGUUGCGCGCACAUUCUUCACUACUCCACAAUCAAUUUCAGCGCGCUGUCCAUUGUCCACAGACAGACGGGUUGCACGUACCUGGUCAUCGUGAUAUUGGAGCUCAGCUUGAUCAAGGCUAUGUCGUUGACGAUGCUGGCUUUGCUAAACCCUGGAUGUAUGAUUAUCUCCCGCGCAUAUAAGGUUAGCAAUAUUAGUCUAUAUACUAACAUUAGCUUUAUACUGAAUCAAAGUUACUUGCAGUAAUUCCUAGGUACGAUUUUCGUCCUUUAAUUCUGAUCGGUCAACUGACUGAACAGCUGAUAACCAAAGGUGGUUAACAAAUUGGGCAGAGCCUUCGGCGGGUUUCGCAAAGCGUCGAGAUACACCAGAACACGAGUGAUGCUCGCUUGACGAAAUUCGCAUGGUUGAAGCACUGAUUCGUAGCAGAAAAAUGUUCGUUGGUUGUAUUUCGUCAUUCACUUUACGGUUGAAACGAUGGACAACUAUCUCACAUUAAAAAAAACCCUUUAAGUUACACGUGAGAACUAAUGACACCUGGUGACUUCUUCUAUAAAAGGCCCAUGGUCUCCUCGUGUGACAUAGGCGGCAGUUCCAGUUGGAAGUUGCCUUGGAAGCAUGUGCGAAUUCUUUGCACUUCUUCCCUAUCAAUACUCCCCUUGGAAGUAUCUCCAUUUAGCCGUGCUUGAAUCCAUCAAUGCAUUGAAGCUUUCUUGCGUUGGGUAUUCGGCCGGCCUUAUUUUCGAGUUAAAACAAUUGAUUCUAUGUUACGACUAUACUGUAGCUCGAAUCCUCUUAGGCUUUACUUGCUUUCCUCUUUACAUUUAAGAAACAUACUAUCAUUUUACAGCCGCAUUGUUGAAUUUAUUGAAUUUACAAUCGCCUCCACUUCAUUACAAACCCCUUUAACUCCAUACUCAAACUCACACACGUCUCAAAGCAAUAUACAAUGAAGAUCAUCUGAAAGGAACGUAAAAGAGAAACAAUAGCUGUUUAAAGAUAAGUUUUGAGGAAUCAUGUAAACGGUCUCUUUUAUAAAUGAUAUUCCAAUGCAUUUAUAUGAAAUAAAAAUAUAAAAAUGUACACUGAAUGUCCCAAA